Molecule: ribosomal RNA, 183 nt
Filed under: Zyras sp. 5 BT-2011
Lineage: Eukaryota; Metazoa; Arthropoda; Insecta; Coleoptera; Staphylinidae
Description: partial 28S ribosomal RNA
Rfam family: Eukaryotic large subunit ribosomal RNA
Source: RNAcentral
GGACCAAGGAGUCUAGCAUGUGCGCGAGUCAUUGGGACAAUCGAAUCCUAAAGGCGCAAUGAAAGUGAAUGUGAGCCUAGUGCUCUCAGAGGGAGGAUGGGUGAUGCAAAUCGCCUCGCACUCCCAGGGCGUCUCGUUCUCAUUGCGAGAUGAGGCGCACCUAGAGCGUACGCGCUAUGACCC